Molecule: long non-coding RNA, 1869 nt
Filed under: Heterocephalus glaber (naked mole-rat)
Lineage: Eukaryota; Metazoa; Chordata; Mammalia; Rodentia; Bathyergidae
Description: lncRNA (ENSHGLG00100048783.1)
Source: RNAcentral
AUUUUGCAGAAAAAGUUACCGAAGCUUUAAUGGUACUAGAAGUACCAUGUUUCUGAAUGGUAUGUGGUAGGACCUGGGUUUGAACCUGGAACUUUGGGCUCCACAAUGCCCUCCCUAAGAGGAAGACCGUCACUGCUAAGAGUCUCAAUGUCACUGACUCCUUCCCUGACCUGGUCUAGUUAGAAGUGUCAUACACCUGCUUUUCCUCUCUCUUGACCCUUUAUGUCUCUGGCUGUCAGAAAAAGGAUGCUUGAAGUGAUCUUCCUUGGCCUUGAGGCAGGGAGCACCCAGCACCUCUCAGGGAGGUUUAAAGUCAGGGUACUUCUCUGAAAAUGAGAUGGAUGUUGUGCCUUAUUUCCACAUCUUGGUUCCCCUUCUGACUGUUUUGUGACAUCAGACAACCCCCUUAAUCACUCAAUUUCCUCAUUAGACCAUGUGGAGAGCAAUGCCCCCCCCCCCCGACUGUAAGACUGUGAAAGGGCCCAACUCUGGACAAUUUUCUUCGGAUACUCUGGAUGUCAGAUGGGUUUCCUCAGAAGACCUAGGUCCCAUGGAAUGAAUCCUUCCUGACUGAAGGUGCUUGGAGGAUAAGGAUAUUGCUUUGUGGGGAUAUAAGAGAUGGUGGGGAAGUGAGACUUGCCUGAGUGUCUCUCUGCCAUGAAGAAAACUGGCUUUGCUUUAUUGACCAGAGCAGAUGUACUCUUUGAGGAACUCAGCAGGGUAAGUAUGAGUUGGGUAAGAUAUCCUAUCUACCAGCUCCUAGGAUUUUUAUGAGUAGAAGCUCUAACUGCUGACACGUUCCUGGUCAAGAGAAAGCAGAUCCUCACCAUUAUCACCUGUACUUUCUUGGAUUUAUUCCAGUUGCACAUCUCUGAAGUUUUCCUUUUAUUCUGCUUGGACAGCACAUUAGAUGAGAUCAAACGCUGAGAGAGAGACAUAAGCACUGCUUUGGCACUGUUGCUAGAAACUCUUGGGAGAAUGAGCAUUGUGUACCAUUUGCCCAUUGCUUGCCGACUUCAGUAGCAAGAGUCUUCAGAAUGCUCCUGGAUAAACAUAAUCUUUGUGGCCAUACAUUGUUUUAUGAGCUGAGUCUUUAGCUUGGCUGGCUCCUUAAAUGCUGCUGUCUGAUUCUCCAGGCAGCAGAAAACAAGGAAAGAAGAGCUCACCGAGCUUUGUGGAUGGCCAAUUUCACUUGCCAAAGGUGAUGGGGAAUUUACCCUUAUGGAAUUUGCUUAUGACAGAAGAAUUGCUGAUCAACUUAAAUUUCAUUUCUGAUAGAAAGAUGAUGCUGUCUGCAUUUCUUGUACAUUGUUUACAGAAUGUGUGUUUGAUUAUAGGCUAUUUUGAAUAUCCACCAGUCUGAAAGAGUUUCCUGCUGAAAGCAUGACUACUUCCUUACUCAUCGAGUUUCGUUUAUCAUUUAAGGAUGAAUGCCCUCCUAUCCUGUAGCUGAGGUGUGCAAUCAUGGUGUGGACAAUUUUUUUGGAGGGAGUCUGAAGAAACUGUUAUCUAAGAUGGAUUCAUACUGGAAGCAAGAGAGCAAACUGGGAAAAAUGGCCUUAGGCUCUGUGAUUGUCAUUGUGUACAUUAGACAAGACAAUGAAAGUAGAGGAUGAAAUAAGACCUUUCUGGUUGUUCAGAAGGCCUGUGUAGCUUGGCCCCACUUACUGGACAGAGCUUCCUGGAGAGAGUUUUUCGAGAAUGUGGCUUCAUUCCAUAGUAUUGCUUUAUGGUGGCCAUUGGGCAGGGGGAUCUAUCUUCCUGGGAGUUAGUUACAUAAAUAAAGACAUCUCUUUUGUUAUGCUCUUGGAAUCCCUUACCUUUCUCCCCGCAAAAGAUGUAUCUGGCUAUUGAGAAACUAAACAUUCA